CAUUCUCACUGCUCAAUUCUCUGCAGUUUAGGAGUUAAAUCCCCUUUUUUGUCCAUGCAGCCCUAGCCACACACCAUGCAUGAAAGAAAAAUGUUUUCACUUUCAAUUAGAUGUAACUGACUUUAAAUGUUCUUAUUGCCUGCUCUCUAAAGUGAACUUUAAUCAUACACAGGAGCCUUCUGAGGGGUCUAGCAAGCAAUCAAC
Pelobates cultripes (western spadefoot toad) is the source of this 204-nucleotide non-coding RNA. NCBI's taxonomy places the organism in Eukaryota, Metazoa, Chordata, Amphibia, Anura, Pelobatidae. The record is from the annotation of a GenBank genome assembly.